RNAcentral lists this ribosomal RNA (1655 nucleotides) under Babesia sp. Xinjiang. RNAcentral describes it as "bacterial SSU rRNA". The stretch from base 19 to 1492 matches the Rfam family "Bacterial small subunit ribosomal RNA". The record is from RNAcentral. Lineage: Eukaryota; Apicomplexa; Aconoidasida; Piroplasmida; Babesiidae.
AAAUUAAGAAUUAUAAAUAUUUAUAUAAGUUAGAUCCUAGCUUAGAAUGAACGCUUAAGACGUACUUUAACACAUGCUAAUUAAAUUUAAAAUAAAUAUAUUAUUAUUUAAAUUAGUGUAGAGGUGAGUAAUGAAUAAAAUUAAAAUUGUAAAUUAAGAAUAUAUAUAUAUAAACAAAAAUUUAUAUAUACUAAUUCUUUAUAAGUGCUUUUAUAUGUGCUACAAAAAUUUUUAUUUAUAAAUUAAUUUUAUUUUUGAUUAGCUAUUUAAUAUUAAAAAUUAAUAUUAAGGCAAAGAUCAAUAACUGGCCUGAGAGGGUAUACAGUCACAUCAGAAUUGAGAUAAAAUCUGAAUUUCUAUAGAGAGAGCAGCAGUGGGGAAUAUUCUACAAUUAGUGAAAACUAGAUAGAGUGACGUCGUGUGAAAAAGAAGACAUAAAAUGUAAAUUUCUGUAAAUAGUUCUAAAAUAAGUGAUCGAAUUAUAAGAAAAUAUCGGCUAACUCUGUGCCAGCAGCCGCGGUAAUACAGAGGAUAUAAGCGUUAUUCACAAUUAUUGGGCAUAAAGCAUCCUUAGAUUGUUUAUUAUAUUAUAUUAAAAAUUUAAAAAUAAUAUUUUUAAACAUUAACUUUAAUAUUAAUAAACUUUGAGAGUAAAAUAAGUUUGAGGAAUUUUUUGAGUAAUGGUGAAAUAUUAUUUCUAUACAUUAAGGAAGGCCAGAAACGAAAGUAUUAAACUAGUUUAUAUCUGACAUUGGAGGAUGAAAGCUAAAGUAGCGAAUGGGAUUAGAUACCCCAGUAGUUUUAGCUGUAAAUAAUGAAUAUUAAAAUUUAGAAAUAAUAUUUUUAAAUUUAAAGUUAAUACGUUAAAUAUUCCGCCUGAAUAGUACAUUCGCAAGAGUUAAAUUCAAAGGAACUGACGGGAACUUAUACAAGUGAUGAGCCAUGUUGUUUAAUUUGAUGCAGCCCAAAAAAUCUUACCAAUAUUUGACAUAAUUAAAUAAUUUUUCUUAUAUAAAAAUGUUAAUUAAUCUUAAGGUGGUGCAUGGUUGUCGUCAGCUAGUGCUGUGAAGUAAAUUAAAAUAUUUUAAACUAGCGUAACCCUUAUUUAUAUAUUUAUAUAAUAUAAUAAGGACGAUGUCAAAUCUUUAUGCCCCUUAUGUAUUGGGCUAUUAGCGUGGCGCAAUGAUAAGCACAAAUGUAAAAACAUAUUUAUUAAAUUUUAUAAAAAAUUUAUAAAUAUAUUUUUAAUUUAAAUUUUAUCUCAGUACGAUAUAUAAAUUGAAAUUUAUUUAUAUAAAGUAGUAACCACUAGUAAUCGUUAGUCAUCUAUAUAACGGUGAAUAUGUAAUUAAGUUUUGUACACACCGCCCGUCGCAUCCUGAAAAUGAAUUGAGUUUAAAUUAUUUUAUAAAUAAUAAAUACUUAAUUAGUGAUUAGGAUGAAGUCGUAACAAGGUAGCCGUACUGGAAAGUGUGGCUAGAUAUUAUCAAUAAUUUUUUUGGUUGUAGUUUUAAACAUUGAUUUGAUCUAAAAUUUUAAUUAAUAUGAGUUAUAAAUAACAUUAAUAUCCACUAGAAUUUAAUUGUUAAUUAUAAUAAAUCAAAUAAUAAUAUUAUUAACUCAAAUUAAUAAUAAUAUAUUUUAAAAUUAAAGAU